RNAcentral lists this ribosomal RNA (318 nucleotides) under uncultured bacterium. Its description in RNAcentral is "bacterial SSU rRNA". It matches the Rfam family "Bacterial small subunit ribosomal RNA", at positions 491 to 805 of the family's 1533-position model. The record is from RNAcentral.
AACCGAGAACUCCUACGGGAGGCAGCAGCCGCGGUAAUACGUAGGGUGCGAGCGUUAAUCGGAAUUACUGGGCGUAAAGCGUGCGCAGGCGGUUGUGUAAGUCAGAUGUGAAAUCCCCGGGCUCAACCUGGGAAUUGCAUUUGAGACUGCACGGCUAGAGUGUGUCAGAGGGGGGUAGAAUUCCACGUGUAGCAGUGAAAUGCGUAGAUAUGUGGAGGAAUACCGAUGGCGAAGGCAGCCCCCUGGGAUAACACUGACGCUCAUGCACGAAAGCGUGGGGAGCAAACAGGAUUAGAAACCCUUGUAGUCCGACUGAGA